Molecule: unclassified non-coding RNA, 2656 nt
Filed under: Anneissia japonica
Lineage: Eukaryota; Metazoa; Echinodermata; Crinoidea; Comatulida; Comatulidae
Description: solute carrier family 35 member E1-like, transcript variant X2
Source: RNAcentral
GUCAAAGAUCAUUUUAAAAGUCAACACAACAUAAAACAGCAGUAUCGAGUGUCAACGUAAGCAUGAACAAUAAAACUAAUUAAAAGAGAAGUAGUUGUUGAAUAAACCGUCAUGCAAAUCACAAAUCAGGCCUAUAAAGAAGGAUGUUGGAUUGUUUUUCUUUGCUCUAUUUGGUACACGAGUAGUUCAGGACAAAAUGUUAUCAACAAACGCCUUCUGGGCUACUUUCCGUAUCCUAUAACGAUCUCAAUGGUACAUAUGUUGUGCGUAGCACUUUUUCUAGGACCGGUGUUACGGCUUCGGAAAGUAGAGAAGCUGAAAAUUCACGAUAAACAUCGUUUUUUAAUGCUUGUUUUCCCAUUGGCAUUUGGAAAAUUUUUUGCAUCUAUAUCUUCUCAUUUAAGUAUUGCAAAUGUGUCAGUAUCGUUUGCUCAUACAGUGAAAGCUAUGAUGCCAAUAUUCACAGUCAUCUUAUCAAGAAUAAUAGUAAAUGAAAAAGCAAGUAAAAGGGUUUAUUUGGCUCUAGCAACAAUAAUAUUUGGUGUUUUGAUAGCUACUGUAACUGAGUUGACUUUCAAUGUUAUAGGAGGCACCUUCGCACUCAUAGCAACAAUAACUUUUUCUCUUCAAAAUGUUUAUACAAAAAAGGCGAUUGGAGAUUUGUACAUUCAUCAUUUGAGAUUAUUACUGAUCCUGGGUCAGCUAGCUUCCCUUAUGCUGCUUCCUAUAUGGAUGUACGUUGACCUAACUAGAAUAUACAACAAUAAAGUUUUAAUUGAAACAUUAAAUUGGCCAAAAACCCUGUUGUUGCUGUUUCUUAGCGGAUUACUCAAUUUCACCCAGAAUAUAUUUGCAUUUAGUGUGAUUUCUCUGAUUAGUCCUUUAAGUUAUUCAAUUGCAAAUGCAACAAAACGAAUUGUCAUUAUCACAAGUUCAUUGAUAUUUCUGCGGAACCCUGUCACGCCGAUGAACGUAUUUGGAAUGGGCACUGCAAUCAUUGGAGUACUAGCUUAUAACAAAGCAAAGUAUGAUGACCGUUGCAAUAAACAGAUGUUACCUGUGUACACAAGUGAUGCAGACUUGGUGCAUAUGAAAGCUUAUAGGACUAGAGAGGCAAUCUUUUCAAAUGGUCACUCAAAUUCUAAUUAUGUUUAAAAUUGAAAUUCUGCUAUGUAUGUACGCCCUAUCUAGACCAUCAAUUUAUUUUUUUGACAAAAUCAUGUGACAUGCCUAAAUAUGGUCAUUAUGACAUCCUGGACAUAUAUGGGUACAUCAUGACUAUAUAUGGGCACAUCAUGACUAUAUAUGGGCACAUCAUGACUAUAUAUGGGCACAUCAUGACUAUAUAUGGACAUACAAUAGUUUCAUGUCAAAGAAAAUUUGACAGUGUGGACAAAGCGUUGAGUGACUGGUUAUAUUUAAUAUUGGUCAUUAUGUAACUAGCAUUAUAGUAAAAAGUGUUUUUAUGACAUAAGACUCAGGCUCAAUAAUUAAACAUUUUAUUAAAUAUUUAUAAACUUAAUUUUAUUGAUUAUGUGCUAUUUAUAUAAAAUAUUGCAUCAUACUGCAUUCUGGCUCUCAUCCUUUUUCUGGGUUCAUUUUAAACUGGCUAAUAAAUUAAAUCACUGAAAAGAAUUAUCAUAAUGAAAGAAAUUGAUACUAGUGUGUGAAUACUAAUUCUGUGUAUGUUUACUAAGCAACAUUUUUCUGUUCAUAUAUAACCAUAUACACUUUAAGAAGCAACAAAACGAGAAACAGCUAAAGCAAAUAAAUUACUGAAACCAAAGAUAAUAAAUAGCAAAAGAUAGAGCAGUUCGCGAUAUAGUGGAACACCCCAUGAGGGCGUCCAUGAGAGCAAUUUUCCUCCAUUCGAGCGGCGGCGCUAUAACUUUGAUGGGUUUGAUUGGUUGAUAACUCUCUAGUUCGUUUGUUUUCAUUAGCUUCUCCACUCCAUGAAAUAAUUUCCUCCAUUCUAGAGAUGGCGCACCUUCAGUAUUCUUCUGCUAUUUAUGUUCUUUGCUGAAUGCUGAAACUCAAGAGUCAGCAGCCCUAAGCACAUUGGUAUAUUAUUCAAUGCAGACUUGAAAUGGCAUUUUAUGGAUUAUAGUCAAGUAAUAAUGGUUUAAGAUGUCUAUAUGUAGCAAAGAAAUGACAAUUGUGUGUCUGCAGCCCUCUCUGUUGGUGAUAUUCACCUGUGAGAAUGUGGAGGUCAGAAAGUUGAAACAAUAAUUCUAGUUGCUAGGUGUCAGAUUUUCACAAUUUUUGUAUGUUAUGUCUGCAAUCUAAUCUAAAUGUAGAAUUAAAUAUAAUUUUUGCAAUUUUAUUUUCCAAACAGUUAACUUUAAUAUUGCAAUUAAUAGUAACAUUUUUGAAACCUUCAUUUGAAAUAUUAUGAAGUUAGACAGCAAGGGAAUUGUUUCAUAGAAAUAUUUUUUAGGUAUAUUAGACUCAUCAAAUAUUUUGAAUAAAUUUGUGCAUGAUUAUUUUGAAGCCAUUUUUGCUAAUAAGUGAUGUUUUGCUAAGCAUUAGUACAAAUUGUGUCUGCAAUAUGUUAAUUGGUAAUGUAAAUAUAAAGUGAAUGUUUAUAUUUUAUAUAAUGUUUAUUUUAUAAUUAUUAUAAACACAUUUUUGUGAUUUAGAUUUAAAUGUCAUUUUU